RNAcentral lists this ribosomal RNA (496 nucleotides) under uncultured bacterium. Its description in RNAcentral is "partial 16S ribosomal RNA". It matches the Rfam family "Bacterial small subunit ribosomal RNA", at positions 29 to 507 of the family's 1533-position model. The record is from RNAcentral.
AUGAACGCUGGCGGCGUGCCUAAUACAUGCAAGUCGAGCGAACAGAUGAGGAGCUUGCUCCUCUGACGUUAGCGGCGGACGGGUGAGUAACACGUGGAUAACCUACCUAUAAGACUGGGAUAACUUCGGGAAACCGGAGCUAAUACCGGAUAAUAUAUUGAACCGCAUGGUUCAAUAGUGAAAGACGGUUUUGCUGUCACUUAUAGAUGGAUCCGCGCCGCAUUAGCUAGUUGGUAAGGUAACGGCUUACCAAGGCAACGAUGCGUAGCCGACCUGAGAGGGUGAUCGGCCACACUGGAACUGAGACACGGUCCAGACUCCUACGGGAGGCAGCAGUAGGGAAUCUUCCGCAAUGGGCGAAAGCCUGACGGAGCAACGCCGCGUGAGUGAUGAAGGUCUUCGGAUCGUAAAACUCUGUUAUUAGGGAAGAACAAAUGUGUAGGUAACUAUGCACGUCUUGACGGUACCUAAUCAGAAAGCCACGGCUAACUACGUG